Molecule: long non-coding RNA, 717 nt
Filed under: Physcomitrium patens
Lineage: Eukaryota; Viridiplantae; Streptophyta; Bryopsida; Funariales; Funariaceae
Description: long non-coding RNA (PPAT_LNC002219)
Source: RNAcentral
CUCGCGUCUUCUCUCCCAGAAAACUCUACAACUGCCGCACCCGCCUCAUACGUCUCCGGUACACCCGGCAUACGAGUACUCCCCGCUCGCAAACCCUACAGCUUCGGCACCUGGUAUGCUUUUAAAUUGGAACACUGAAAAAAAGUACAUCAUCAGCAAUGAAAGUCUCUGACUGGCAUCCUCGACGAAGUUCCGGAAGCAGCACUCUCUGGACAAUCAGAGCGAAGUUUCGAUCCUCGGACCUGUGGGUUAUGGGCCCACCACGCUUCCGCUGCGCCACUCUGAUUCUAUCAGACCUCGUCAUUUUAUAUUAUUUAUACAAAAUGUUAUCCUACUACUGAUCGACGUGGACUUCGUGUGUUUAGGUGUAUAUCUUGGUGGCGUUACUCUCUGGACUAUCAGAGCGAGGUUAUUCUACAAUGAAAUUUCUGUUUAUGUUUGGAGCUAGUAUAAAUGAUUAAGACUUUUGCAGUAUUUCAAUUUUGUUUUCGAGACAGAGAAAAUAGAAAGAAAAUCAUGAAAAUUAAGUUUAAGGACCAUGAAUUCGCUUAUUUAUUAUUUUUUGUAGUUUAAUGUUUGAGAAUUUAGUUACUUUAUUGUUACAUCCAUUAUGCACACAAAUUUAUUUUUUUCUUAAUAUAUGUUUUUUUGUAUUUAAUACGGAUGUUAUUCUUACUUAGAGAGUAGAAUUUGUUUUACUAUGUUUUUUAUAGUUCG